This 2205-nucleotide long non-coding RNA is filed under the name Anthonomus grandis grandis. RNAcentral's name for it is "uncharacterized LOC126737916". Lineage: Eukaryota; Metazoa; Arthropoda; Insecta; Coleoptera; Curculionidae. The record is from RNAcentral.
CGUUGACUUAAUGUUAUGCAGGACACAAUAGCAGUUAAUAAAUUUCUACAUUUAAAUUCACUAACCGGUCGAAUUGUUAGCUUUCCAAUAAUAGGGAUGGCUAAAGUCCAGUUCAGAGAUCUAUUAGAAUCUUUGAUGUGUCGCAGAUGCCGCACUAACUAGUCCGUGCGCCUAUGUCAUAUUUAUUGUUGCAUGAUAUAUAUGUUUAAAUGGCAAAAUUUUAUAUUGUCUAUCUAUGAAAUCAUUUUAAAUAUACGUAAAACCCCAUGUUUUAUACUAUUUUUUAUUUUUCUUUCGAAAAUGUCAAUUUUUAGAAAGAAAAUAAUAUCACAAGAAAAUAAUAUCAAAAAAUUGAUCGCGGACUAAAAUUCAAGCAUCUUACAAAAUAUUUUAAACACUUCCAGCACUCACAGACUUGUCACCUCUUUUUAGCCAGUCUAUUAAACAAAGAUAAAACACCUGCGUUCUGACAAUUCCUACUUUAGGCUGUGCAAGUGAUUGUGUAUCUCUCUCUAUUCCACUGGAUUUAAGAAUUACGGGGCCGUACCCAAAUAAAUUUUUGGACCGUUUUUGUAUUAUUUUCGUCGUGUUUUUAAAGAGAUCUUUACGGAUCGGUCUAUCGCCUUUAAAAUAGUUGUUGGAUGGGUCUAUCAGCUUUAAUAGUUGGAAGGGGGGCCAUGUGAGGUUAUUAUUUGAUGUGUUUUGCCGGUUAUGCUUUUUACACGUUUAUGAAAGUAAAGAAUUUAGAAUUUGGCCUGUAUUCCUGUAAAUUUUUUGCAGUUUGUAUUGUGAGGAACAGUGUUUUUUUAUUUGUGUUUGUGGAUUUGUUUUGGUAUUAUACCUAAAGACCUUAAAAUGUUUCGACCCUGGAAAAAUAGGCAGGAAAAUUUGGCAAAUGAAGAGGAAAGUGUUUGUGCGGGCUUAUGGAGACCGUGGGUGUACAAGAAAGACAAUAACAUUUGUGAUAAAAACAAUAAGAGUGAUCUGGGCAGUGAUUUAGACUUAUAGUUCUGAUAGUUCAUUUUCUAGUAUUGAGGAAGCAAAAAGAAGCAAGGGAAGUAGAAGCUACAGAGGAAAUCAAGCAGUUUUAAAAGAACAAAUUUAUCUAAAUAUCUAUAACAAUCUAAGGAAUGAUACUUAGUUCACAAAUGAUUGUAGUGCUUUGCAAAAAAUAGCGUUUUUAACAGGGGUUCCCUAUAGUACAAUAUGCCUGUAAAAAAAAGGAUUAAAGACAGAAUAAAAAGGAAAGAUGCAGGACAAUCAAAGGGACUUGACAUGGAUGUUGCCAAAUUGCUAAGGAAAGGUGUGUAUUCUAAAUACAAAAACAAUGAGGUUCUGACCAUAUAGACACCUUAUCGGCAAGGGACAAACAUUUCUCAGUCUCAACCUUGCGGAGAUACCUGAUAAAACUUGGAUUUAAGCUUAAGAUGAUUAACAAAAGAGCUGCUGUAAUGGAAUUGUCAGGUGGUGUAUAGAAUAUUUGAGGAAAAUUAAAAAAAUUUGGGAGGAAGAAAGAUCCAUAUUAUUAUUUAGCCGAAACAUGAUAUGAUACAUUUAUGAUUGAUGUAUGAUUUCCAUUCUCUGGGAAAAAAGUCCCUUUUUUGCCAUAGUAAGAAAACCAUAUUUUUAUUAAUAAAACAAGUUUAAAAUUUUGUUUUUUACAGCUUACUGCCCCUGUUGUCCUUCAGUGAUACAAUAAAGACUGCUUCUUCCACCAUUCUCUGGAAAAAACCCUGUUUUGCUAUGCUUAUUACCCCUGUUGUCCUUCAGCAACACAAUGAAGACUGCUUCUUCCUCCAUUUUUUGGAAAAAAGUCCCUUUUUUGCCAUACUUACUGCCCCUGUUUGUCCUUCAGCAACACAAUAAAGUAUAUAUAAUGUAAUGCUUUAGAAUCCAUAUGCUGAUGUGCGAGAUGAAGUUGGAAUCCAUGGCGGCAACAGAGAAACUGUUUCCUUCCUUAAUGGAAGAAACUGCUAAAGAACAAUGGCAAAAAAACAGAAUUUACAAAAAUUGUAUUAACUUUUUGGGCCAGAUUCAAAAGAGUGGUUAAAUUUAUAAAAGUAUUUAGUAUCCUCACUGUAGUUUUAGGAUCCAGUAUACUUAAAAUGUAGUGUUUUGUAUAAGAUUUUUAGUUUUUAGUAUAAGCAUUUAUUUUUAUUAAUUUUUAUCUAAUCUCUCCUAAUAUGCAUAAUAACUAAAUAUGAG